RNAcentral lists this ribosomal RNA (378 nucleotides) under uncultured bacterium. RNAcentral describes it as "bacterial SSU rRNA". It matches the Rfam family "Bacterial small subunit ribosomal RNA", at positions 335 to 702 of the family's 1533-position model. The record is from RNAcentral.
ACUCCUACGGGAGGCAGCAGUGGGGAAUAUUGCACAAUGGGCAGCAAGCCUGAUGCAGCCAUGCCGCGUGUAUCGAAGAAUGGGCCUUCGGGUUGAUAAAGUACUUUCAGCAGUGAGGAGUGGAUAUGUUAAUAGCAUACUCAUUUGACGUUAGCUGCAGAAGAAGCACCGGCUAACUCCGUGCCAGCAGCCGCGGUAAUACGGAGGGUGCGAGCGUUAAUCGGAAUUACUGGGCGUAAAGCGCAUGCAGGUGGUUUGUUAAGUCAGAUGUGAAAGCCCGGGGCUCAACCUCGGAAUUGCAUUUGAAACUGGCAAACUAGAGUACUGUAGAGGGGGGUAGAAUUUCAGGUGUAGCGGUGAAAUGCGUAGAGAUCUGAA